This 253-nucleotide ribosomal RNA is filed under the name uncultured bacterium. Its description in RNAcentral is "partial 16S ribosomal RNA". It matches the Rfam family "Bacterial small subunit ribosomal RNA", at positions 524 to 776 of the family's 1533-position model. The record is from RNAcentral.
UACGUAGGGUGCAAGCGUUGUCCGGAAUUAUUGGGCGUAAAGAGCUCGUAGGUGGCCUGUCGCGUCGGCUGUGAAAACUCGGGGCUCAACUCCGAGCUUGCAGUCGAUACGGGCAGGCUAGAGUUCGGCAGGGGAGACUGGAAUUCCUGGUGUAGCGGUGAAAUGCGUAGAUAUCGGGAGGAACACCUGUGGCGAAAGCGGCGCACUGGACCAUAACUGACGCUGAUGCGCGAAAGCUAGGGGAGCAAACAGG